This is a non-coding RNA of Hydra vulgaris (swiftwater hydra), 1223 nucleotides long. The record is from RefSeq and is a predicted model, not a curated record. NCBI's taxonomy places the organism in Eukaryota, Metazoa, Cnidaria, Hydrozoa, Anthoathecata, Hydridae.
AAGUGAUGUCGAAUUGCGCAAUUGUGAAUCUGAUGGUUUGCCAGCAGCAACACUAGACUUCAAAAUAGAAAGGUAGUUAUACAAUUAACUAAUAAAUGACUGUAUUUAAGGUUUUCAUUUAUUGUUAACUUGUUUAAAGUUAUACCAUUGAUUUAUUUAUUGUAUUGAGCUCAUUUCUUUUCUUGUAGAUUUAAUAGUUUGACAUUAAAAUAUUCACAAUCCUAAAGCAUAUUGGUGGAUUCUGCAUUUGUUCAAAACAAAUCAUCACCAGUUCAAAUUGUAAUUAAUAAAAUUUAUGUAAGAGACUUAAAUUAUAACUUAGGGCCCUGCAAAUUAAUUCCAUUUGCAAAUUAAGUGAUUUACGAAUGGACUCGAAAGUGACUCGACUCAAAAAAAUUAUUCAAGUUUUUUAAAUCAUUGAUCUAAAAUAAUUUUAAUAUCACAUUAGAAAAAUCACUGUAUAAUUAAUCUGCACAAUAAGUAAGUUGAAAUCCUUUUUUUUUUCGGUAAAAAAAGAUGUUUAAGUUUGGUUUUCCUUAUAUUGCUGAUUUGAUUCGUGAUUCAUUUCGAUUUGAAAAUCAUGACCUGUAAUGAUGUAGUUUAUAAUAACAAUUUAAUAAAGGCCUUAAAUUUCACAACCAGUAUUUUUAACUAAAAUUUCAUUUUCGAAUAUUUUUAUGUUUUAAAGAGGAAAAUUAUUCUACUUAGGUGAAUCUGUAAGUCUUCAGAUGGUUGCUAUUCUAUUAGCUACUGUAAUUAGCAAUCAGGAAGAUACGAAAACGACCUUAGCUAUGCAUAGGGCACAAAUUCAAUCUAUCCGUCGCAAAUUUGAUUUAAACGAUCAUAUCUCUCCAUAUCUUCAAGAAGAUAUUCCACUUCCAGCUAAGUCAAUGGAAGAAGUGGAAAUUGUAGCAAAGAGGCUGGAAAAUCCAGGAAUAAAGAAAAUAGUUGUGCCGUUAAAUUAAAUCCUAGCACGAAAAAUUGCACGCAAAAGGAAAUAAAAAAUGAACUUUCAACUUGGUUUGCAAACUCAAGGGAUCGUGGAAGUAGUAGUCGUAAAACUGCUAAAGGAGCUAUCAACGUUAACUCACCUGAACUAGAUGCUGUUUAUCUAACUCCUUCAGAAAACUUGGACAAAUUUGUUUGACGAUAUUAUUCAGUAAAUUUGGGCAAAUUUGUGUAACAUUAUUUUUUUAAUUUAAAAAUAAAUAAUGCAAGUUAAA